This is a small nuclear RNA of Pipistrellus kuhlii (Kuhl's pipistrelle), 68 nucleotides long. RefSeq annotates it as U5 spliceosomal RNA. The transcript has a single exon. Lineage: Eukaryota; Metazoa; Chordata; Mammalia; Chiroptera; Vespertilionidae. The record is from RefSeq and is a predicted model, not a curated record.
UGGUUUCUCUUCAGAUCAUAUAAAUCUUUCGCCUUUUACUGAAGAUUUCCAUGGAGAGGAACAGUUAC